AAAAUGGCGGCCAUCUUGUUUGCACGAGGAGAGCCAGCGGGACUUGGUCGUCGAGUGCCUGGAACUAAAAUCAGACACUCGACCUCACGAACUGCCGCUGGAAACUACCGAAUGCCGGCUUCUCAUACUUCCCGAACAGCCAGGAGAGCGUCAUUCGGUAGUUCUGUGCGAACGGACCAGGGGAGCAAUCGCUACUAUGAACCAGGAGAAUCCAUUCG
Pelobates cultripes (western spadefoot toad) is the source of this 218-nucleotide non-coding RNA. The record is from the annotation of a GenBank genome assembly. NCBI's taxonomy places the organism in Eukaryota, Metazoa, Chordata, Amphibia, Anura, Pelobatidae.